AAGUUGCAGGGUAUAGACCCGAAACCCGGUGAUCUAGCCAUGGGCAGGUUGAAGGUUGGGUAACACUAACUGGAGGACCGAACCGACUAAUGUUGAAAAAUUAGCGGAUGACCUGUGGCUGGGGGUGAAAGGCCAAUCAAACCGGGAGAUAGCUGGUUCUCCCCGAAAGCUAUUUAGGUAGCGCCUCGUGAAUUCAUCUCCGGGGGUAGAGCACUGUUUCGGCUAGGGGGCCAUCCCGGCUUACCAACCCGAUGCAAACUGCGAAUACCGGAGAAUGUUAUCACGGGAGACACACGGCGGGUGCUAACGUCCGUCGUGAAGAGGGAAACAACCCAGACCGCCAGCUAAGGUCCCAAAGUCAUGGUUAAGUGGGAAACGAUGUGGGAAGGCCCAGACAGCCAGGAUGUUGGCUUAGAAGCAGCCAUCAUUUAAAGAAAGCGUAAUAGCUCACUGGUCGAGUCGGCCUGCGCGGAAGAUGUAACGGGGCUAAACCAUG
This 496-nucleotide ribosomal RNA is filed under the name Salmonella enterica. RNAcentral's name for it is "partial 23S ribosomal RNA". It matches the Rfam family "Bacterial large subunit ribosomal RNA", at positions 697 to 1191 of the family's 2925-position model. RNAcentral also lists the same sequence under 2 other names. Lineage: Bacteria; Pseudomonadati; Pseudomonadota; Gammaproteobacteria; Enterobacterales; Enterobacteriaceae. The record is from RNAcentral.